AAGUGGUUCUUAACAGUUCAACAGUUCUUUGACAAAAUUGUGAAAUGUUUAGGACCACUUGA
Molecule: microRNA precursor, 62 nt
Filed under: Monopterus albus (swamp eel)
Lineage: Eukaryota; Metazoa; Chordata; Actinopteri; Synbranchiformes; Synbranchidae
Description: Mal-Mir-203-P2-v2_pre stem-loop
Rfam family: mir-203 microRNA precursor family
Source: RNAcentral